CGGACCUGGGUGCGUGAAAGUGCGUGUGCGUGUGUGUAUCGAAGCCAGUGCAGCGCACGUCGACAGGUCUUCGUGUUCGUCUACAGACGGCCGUAGAGGAGGGAGAGGACCACGCACACCCAGACUCUCUCACUCUUUCAAGGGCUUGUAUGGGGUUUGCUGCGCGCGUGUCGCUUGGAUCUGCAUGUCCAUUUCCUUGCACAUCUUUUUGUGCAUGUAUGCGUCUAUGCUCGUCUAGCGAAAUGCGUGUGUGCGCGCGUGUGUACGUUGGCUUUGGAACUCCCGGUACUCGGGCAUGAGCUGCAUGUCGGACCCAGGAGUGUCGGUGCCACAGCAGUGGUCGUGCACUCUCAUGGACAUCAGUGGCUCCCUUCUCCCUUCUCCCUCUCUACGUCUCCCCCACCCUUACUUCCCCAGACUGCACGCUCGUGGAGAGUUUGUCGCAGGUUGCGUGGCUGUUGCGACGGCGCUCGAUUACACCCGGUGCCCGUGCGUGCGCACUCAUGCUUUUUGGACCUCACACCCAUCUCAUCUCUCUCUCUCUGUCGUCUUCCUCCCUUUCUAUUAUUUUGGGGUGGCCCGAAUCAAUCUCUGGCGCCCCUCCCCCUUCCCACUUCCGCCUGCCCGUGUCACCAACCGCUGGCUGCGCAUCGACGAGCCGAUUUGCGUGCGCGGUUGUUUAUAUUUUAAAAG
Molecule: unclassified non-coding RNA, 693 nt
Filed under: Leishmania donovani
Lineage: Eukaryota; Euglenozoa; Kinetoplastea; Trypanosomatida; Trypanosomatidae
Description: gene:unknown
Source: RNAcentral